AGAGCGAACGCUGGCGGCAUGCUUAACACAUGCAAGUCGCACGGGCACUUCGGUGUCAGUGGCGGACGGGUGAGUAACGCGUAGGUAUCUAUCCUUGGGUGGGGGACAACUGUGGGAAACUACAGCUAAUACCGCAUGAUAACUGAGGUUUAAAGGCGCAAGUCGCCUGAGGAGGAGCCUGCGUACGAUUAGCUAGUUGGUGGGGUAAAGGCCUACCAAGGCGACGAUCGUUAGCUGGUCUGAGAGGAUGAUCAGCCACAUUGGGACUGAGACACGGCCCAAACUCCUACGGGAGGCAGCAGUGGGGAAUUUUGCGCAAUGGGGGAAACCCUGACGCAGCAACGCCGCGUGGAGGAUGAAGCCCCUUGGGGUGUAAACCCCUUUCAGCAGGGACGAAGCGAGAGUGACGGUACCUGCAGAAGAAGCGCCGGCUAACUACGUGCCAGCAGCC
Molecule: ribosomal RNA, 451 nt
Filed under: uncultured bacterium
Lineage: Bacteria
Description: SSU rRNA
Rfam family: Bacterial small subunit ribosomal RNA
Source: RNAcentral